Molecule: unclassified non-coding RNA, 349 nt
Filed under: soil metagenome
Description: partial contains 5.8S ribosomal RNA, internal transcribed spacer 2, and large subunit ribosomal RNA
Rfam family: 5.8S ribosomal RNA (bases 1-120)
Source: RNAcentral
GAUGAAGAACGCAGUGAAAUGCGAUACGUAGUGUGAAUUGCAGAAUUCAGUGAAUCAUCGAAUCUUUGAACGCACAUUGCGCCCUUUGGUAUUCCAAAGGGCAUGCCUGUUCGAGCGUCAUUUGUACCCUCAAGCUUUGCUUGGUGUUGGGCGUUUUUUGUCUUUGGCCUGCCCAAAGACUCGCCUCAAAACGAUUGGCAGCCGGCCUCCUGGUUUCGCAGCGCAGCACAUUUUUGCGCUUGCAAUCAGCAAUAGAGGACGGCACUCCAUCAAGACUCGUUUUUAUCACUUUUGACCUCGGAUCAGGUAGGGAUACCCGCUGAACUUAAGCAUAUCAAUAAGCGGAGGA